AAUAAGUAAGUUUAUGGCAUAUCUUGCCCAUAUGAUGAGAUAAAUACUUUUUAAGGCAUGAAUCUGUAAUCUUAGAUGGGCACAAAAGAAAAUCAGAUUCAAGAACAAGAGCAUUAACAAGGAGUCCUUUCCAUAAAUUUAUGAAAAUGCCACAAUUGAACUUCGUAGUUUGUACUAUUACAGGUCUCCUUAUGGCCACAUUUGAAGUGAUGGAUUCGCCAGAGAAUCCUCCAUGAAUUAGCUUCGUGGA
RNAcentral lists this unclassified non-coding RNA (250 nucleotides) under Hevea brasiliensis (rubber tree). Lineage: Eukaryota; Viridiplantae; Streptophyta; Magnoliopsida; Malpighiales; Euphorbiaceae. The record is from RNAcentral.